Molecule: ribosomal RNA, 1293 nt
Filed under: metagenome
Description: bacterial LSU rRNA
Rfam family: Bacterial large subunit ribosomal RNA
Source: RNAcentral
UCGUACCGCAAACCGACACUGGUGCGCGAGAUGAGUAUUCUAAGGCGCUUGAGAGAACUCUGGAGAAGGAACUCGGCAAGUUGACACCGUAACUUCGGAAGAAGGUGUGCCUUUAGUAGGUGAACCAUUUACUUGGGGAGCCCAAUGAGGCCGCAGAGAAUCGGUGGCUGCAACUGUUUAUUAAAAACACAGCACUCUGCAAAGACGAAAGUCGACGUAUAGGGUGUGACUCCUGCCCGGUGCUGGAAGAUUAAAUGAUGGGGUGCAAGCUCUUGACUGAAGUCCCAGUAAACGGCGGCCGUAACAAUAACGGUUCUAAGGUAGCGAAAUUCCUUGUCGGGUAAGUUCCGACCUGCACGAAUGGAGUAAUGAUGGCCACACUGUCUCCUCCAGAGACUCAGCGAAGUUGAAAUGUUUGUGAUGAUGCAAUCUCCCCGCGGAAAGACGGAAAGACCCCAUGAACCUUUACUGUAGCUCUACAUUGGACUUUGAACAGAUCUGUGUAGGAUAGGUGGGAGGCUUUGAAGAGUGGACGCUAGUUUGCUUGGAGCCAACGUUGAAAUACCACCCUGGUGUGUUUGAGGUUCUAACCUUGGUCCCUUAUCGGGAUUGGGGACAGUGUAUGGUGGGCAGUUUGACUGGGGCGGUCUCCUCCCAAAGUGUAACGGAGGAGUUCGAAGGUACGCUAAAUACGGUCGGAAAUCGUGUUGAUAGUGCAUUGGCAUAAGCGUGCUUGACUACGAGACUGACAAGUCGAGCAGGUACGAAAGUAGGACAAAGUGAUCCGGUGGUUCUGUAUGGAAGGGCCAUCGCUCAACGGAUAAAAGGUACUCUGGGGAUAACAGGCUGAUACCGCCCAAGAGUUCAUAUCGACGGCGGUGUUUGGCACCUCGAUGUCGGCUCAUCUCAUCCUGGGGCUGUAGCCGGUCCCAAGGGUAUGGCUGUUCGCCAUUUAAAGAGGUACGUGAGCUGGGUUUAAAACGUCGUGAGACAGUUUGGUCCCUAUCUUCCGUGGGCGCUGCAAGAUUGAGAGAGCCUGCUCCUAGUACGAGAGGACCGGAGUGGACGCACCUCUGGUGUAUCGGUUGUCACGCCAGUGGCAUCGCCGAGUAGCUAAGUGCGGAAGAGAUAACCGCUGAAAGCAUCUAAGCGGGAAACUCGUCUCAAGAUGAGUCUUGCCGGGGCCUAGAGCCCCCUGAAGGGUCGUUCGAGACCAGGACGUUGAUAGGCUGGGUGUGGAAGCGCGGUAACGCGUUAAGCUAACCAGUACUAAUUGCCCGUGAGGCUUGACCC